GUAGGUGAACCUGCGGAAGGAUCAUUAGUGAAUUUUAGGGCGUCUACUUGUAGAGCCUGACCUCCACUCUCUAACACUGUGCAUUUAUUGGCGGAAUUUUAGUGAUAAGAAAUUUUCGGAUUUCGAAUCACUAAAAAUCUGCGGCUCAUUUUAUAACACCAGUCAAAGUAUGUAACAAAAUAUCGAAACAAAAAAAAACUUUCAACAACGGAUCUCUUGGCUCUCGCAUCGAUGAAGAACGCAGCAUCUG
RNAcentral lists this unclassified non-coding RNA (250 nucleotides) under plant metagenome. Its description in RNAcentral is "partial contains small subunit ribosomal RNA, internal transcribed spacer 1, and 5.8S ribosomal RNA". The stretch from base 197 to 250 matches the Rfam family "5.8S ribosomal RNA", at positions 1 to 55 of the family's 154-position model. The record is from RNAcentral.